Molecule: non-coding RNA, 1979 nt
Organism: Zootermopsis nevadensis
Lineage: Eukaryota; Metazoa; Arthropoda; Insecta; Blattodea; Termopsidae
Source: RefSeq, a predicted model, not a curated record
ACUCGUUUUCCACUUUGAUAAUUCUUUAUGUUACAGAAAGAGAAUGUCUUUAUAUUAUGCCAGAAUUCCAUUACAAUACAUUUUGCAUUUAAUAGUAUAAUUUCACUGCAGUCACAAUGCUGUGUAUGUUAAUAAUGGCUUAUAAUAUAGUUCCUUAUUAAGUUUUUAAUUUUGUGUACUACAUCUCUGUUUCAUACUAACCCUCUAUUGCAUUCUGUUCCCCAUCAAAACACUUUCUAUUUAUGAUGUCUGAAUUUCAUACAUGCAUUGUUCCAUACACGAAAGUGAUGUAGGUUGUAGCUGAGACUGUCCACUAGAUAAUAGUACUAACCAGUUUAUUUUUCUUCAUUUAUUGGACAUGUUUCUAGUCUUUUGCAGAUAGUUGCCAGUGGUGGUUGUCUUUGCAUGGUUUUUAGUACUAUCUCAAGAUAAGUAUAGAAGAAGGAAGGCUACAGUGGCCCAUAUAAGAGAUACAGCCCCAGAAAGUAAGGAUUCUGAAUCAUAAGUUAAAGAUGUAGGAAACAAGCAAUUGGUUUAGUCCAAAUAUCAGCAAGUCAAGUGAUGAGGACUGUUCUGAUACAACAGCAAGCAUAGAAAGGCAGGAAACUGACACAGAAGAAUUCAAGGAUACAAUAAAUUUAAAGACAUACAACCCAAAAGAACCACAUAAGUGGGGAUAUAAAAUGUGGGUGCUAUCAGAUGUGUCAGGGAUGUUACAUAAUUUUCAGUUAUAUGUCCAGAAGAAAUGUUAUGGUAAGUGGUAAGCCAAACUUAGUGGCAGCAAAUAAUGCUGUUGUUAGACUAUGCUGACAUACCCCUUUGCCUGUAAAUGAUAUGGAGUUUUAUGAUAACUUCCUUUGUCAUUCUUUUCCUUACAUAUUUACCAAAGAAGUUUUUGCUGUCUGCACAAAUCACCUGCCAGAUUACAAACCCUUAGCUGAGAAAGAAAUGAAAUAGUGAGAGGUACCAUGACAGACCACCACCUAAGAUACCUCCGAAAAGGAGGCGGUGAAAACCCACAACGGUUGUAGUGCCAAGAAACAACAAAAUCUAGUGUGACAAAAAGGGUUCUUGUGAAUGUCCAUAACUUUCCCCAGCAAUAAAAGUAGUUACCUGAGUAUGUAAAGAACAUUAUUUGGUGAUCAUUAUAAAUUACAGAACAUGUACGUCAAAAUUCUGUGGCUUGCUCUUGUCUUUGAACCUUUGCACUAGUAAGCAAUCAUUAAUAUCUGAAUAACAACAUGAUAGGAAAGUGAUUCAGAACUUAAAAAACCCAGAGACAAACUGUCUUAUUGUAACUCCCUGUAAUUGGCAUCCACUUUAUCACUAACACAGUGCUUAGGUUUGAUUCAGAAGUUUCAAAUAAUUAGGAUACAGAAGACACUAAUGGAUGCAGGGCAUAUAAUUUUAAAGUGCAUCUCUAUGUUCUAAACAAAAAAAUAAACAUGCUGUUGAAUCUAAACACUCAAAAGAAUGCAGAUUUUUAAUUGUACUUAUGAAUCAUGAAUUUUAUCUGUACUGGGUAAUUUUUUAAUCAGUACUACCUGAGACCUUGCACCAAAUAUCAAGAAGUACAUACGGUGAAACCUCUAUCCAUCAUUCCCCGAACUAUCAUUUUCCCGGAAGCAUCGUCUUGUUUAGUUCGGUCCCUGAUACGUCCCAUAUAAAAUAAUGUUAUAUUUUCUCGCUUCUAUCAUUUCUCGAACUGUCGUUUAAUCGCAUUAAUAGUUCAAAAAUCUUAGUCCUGGCCCACAAUUUUCCCGCACUGAUAAAUUUACGCAAUGUUUUUAGGAUUUAAAAUGAUCGUUUUAGAGAUAAAUUAAAAUCUAAAGACGCACAGCGAGCUUGCCACAUGCACGGCUGACACCAUCGAUAAGUCGUUUGAUGAAAUGAAAGGGGGGGGGGGGGUGAGGAAGGGAAAGACGACGAAUACAAGCCCGAAGCUGUGCCGAGUUUUGCCGAAGCACAUGCCGCAUUGG